Molecule: ribosomal RNA, 330 nt
Filed under: uncultured bacterium
Lineage: Bacteria
Description: bacterial SSU rRNA
Rfam family: Bacterial small subunit ribosomal RNA
Source: RNAcentral
UCCGUAGGCGGUGCGGCAAGUCGGAAGUGAAAUCUCUGGGCUUAACCCAGAGGCUGCUUCCGAAACUGCCGUGCUAGAGUGUGAGAGAGGCGAGUGGAAUUACGGGUGUAGCGGUGAAAUGCGUAGAUAUCCGUAGGAACAUCCGAGGCGAAAGCGGCUCGCUGGAUCACAACUGACGCUGAGAGACGAAAGCUAGGGGAGCAAACAGGAUUAGAUACCCUGGUAGUCCUAGCCCUAAACCAUCAGGACUUGGGGUUUGCCCUGUACGGGGCAAGUCCCGUAGCUAACGCGUUAAGUCCUGCGCCUGGGGAGUACGGUCGCAAGGCUGAA